AAUCAACGCUGGCGGCGUGCCUCAGACAUGCAAGUCGAACGAUUAAAGCUCUCUUCGGAGAGUGCAUAGAGUGGCGCACGGGUGAGUAACACGUAAGUAAUCUACCUUCGAGUGGGGAAUAACGUCCGGAAACGGACGCUAAUACCGCAUAAUGCAGCGGCAUCGUAAGAUGACAGUUGUUAAAGAUUUAUCGCUUGAAGAGGAGUUUGCGGCAGAUUAGCUAGUUGGUAAGGUAAUGGCUUACCAAGGCUACGAUCUGUAACCGGUCUUAGAGGACGGUCGGUCACACUGACACUGAAUAACGGGUCAGACUCCUACGGGAGCAGCAGUCGGGAAUUUUGGGCAAUGGGCGAAAGCCUGACCCAGCAACGCCGCGUGAAGGAUGAAGUAUUUCGGUAUGUAAACUUCGAAAGAAUAGGAAGAAUAAU
Molecule: ribosomal RNA, 428 nt
Filed under: uncultured bacterium
Lineage: Bacteria
Description: bacterial SSU rRNA
Rfam family: Bacterial small subunit ribosomal RNA
Source: RNAcentral